This 461-nucleotide ribosomal RNA is filed under the name uncultured bacterium. RNAcentral's name for it is "bacterial SSU rRNA". It matches the Rfam family "Bacterial small subunit ribosomal RNA", at positions 30 to 504 of the family's 1533-position model. The record is from RNAcentral.
CGAACGCUGGCGGCGUGCUUAACACAUGCAAGUCGAACGGAAAGGCCCUGCUUGCAGGGUACUCGAGUGGCGAACGGGUGAGUAACACGUGGGUGAUCUGCCCUGCACUUCGGGAUAAGCUUGGGAAACUGGGUCUAAUACCGGAUAGGAACCAUCUUUAGUGUGGUGGUUGGAAAGUUUUUUCGGUGUAGGAUGAGCUCGCGGCCUAUCAGCUUGUUGGUGGGGUAAUGGCCUACCAAGGCGGCGACGGGUAGUCGGCCUGAGAGGGUGUACGGCCACAUUGGGACUGAGAUACGGCCCAGACUCCUACGGGAGGCAGCAGUGGGGAAUAUUGCACAAUGGGCGCAAGCCUGAUGCAGCGACGCCGCGUGGGGGAUGAAGGCCUUCGGGUUGUAAACUCCUUUCGCUAGGGACGAAGCUUUUUUGUGACGGUACCUAGAUAAGAAGCACCGGCUAACUAC